AGUGGCGGACGGGUGAGUAACACGUAGGUNNCCUGCCCAGAAGCGGGGGACAACAUUUGGAAACAGAUGCUAAUACCGCAUAACAGCGUUGUUCGCAUGAACAACGCUUAAAAGAUGGCUUCUCGCUAUCACUUCUGGAUGGACCUGCGGUGCAUUAGCUUGUUGGUGGGGUAACGGCCUACCAAGGCGAUGAUGCAUAGCCGAGUUGAGAGACUGAUCGGCCACAAUGGGACUGAGACACGGCCCAUACUCCUACGGGAGGCAGCAGUAGGGAAUCUUCCACAAUGGGCGCAAGCCUGAUGGAGCAACACCGCGUGAGUGAAGAAGGGUUUCGGCUCGUAAAGCUCUGUUGUUAAAGAAGAACACGUAUGAGAGUAACUGUUCAUACGUUGACGGUAUUUAACCAGAAAGUCACGGCUAACUACGUGCCAGCAGCCGCGGUAAUACGUAGGUGGCAAGCGUUAUCCGGAUUUAUUGGGCGUAAAGAGAGUGCAGGCGGUUUUCUAAGUCUGAUGUGAAAGCCUUCGGCUUAACCGGAGAAGUGCAUCGGAAACUGGAUAACUUGAGUGCAGAAGAGGGUAGUGGAACUCCAUGUGUAGCGGUGGAAUGCGUAGAUAUAUGGAAGAACACCAGUGGCGAAGGCGGCUACCUGGUCUGCAACUGACGCUGAGACUCGAAAGCAUGGGUAGCGAACAGGAUUAGAUACCCUGGUAGUCCAUGCCGUAAACGAUGAGUGCUAGGUGUUGGAGGGUUUCCGCCCUUCAGUGCCGGAGCUAACGCAUUAAGCACUCCGCCUGGGGAGUACGACCGCAAGGUUGAAACUCAAAGGAAUUGACGGGGGCCCGCACAAGCGGUGGAGCAUGUGGUUUAAUUCGAAGCUACGCGAAGAACCUUACCAGGUCUUGACAUCUUGCGCCAACCCUAGAGAUAGGGCGUUUCCUUCGGGAACGCAAUGACAGGUGGUGCAUGGUCGUCGUCAGCUCGUGUCGUGAGAUGUUGGGUUAAGUCCCGCAACGAGCGCAACCCUUGUUACUAGUUGCCAGCAUUAAGUUGGGCACUCUAGUGAGACUGCCGGUGACAAACCGGAGGAAGGUGGGGACGACGUCAGAUCAUCAUGCCCCUUAUGACCUGGGCUACACACGUGCUACAAUGGACGGUACAACGAGUCGCGAACUCGCGAGGGCAAGCAAAUCUCUUAAAACCGUUCUCAGUUCGGACUGCAGGCUGCAACUCGCCUGCACGAAGUCGGAAUCGCUAGUAAUCGCGGAUCAGCAUGCCG
Molecule: ribosomal RNA, 1279 nt
Filed under: Lactobacillus sp. 2011_Ileo_VSA_D2
Lineage: Bacteria; Bacillati; Bacillota; Bacilli; Lactobacillales; Lactobacillaceae
Description: bacterial SSU rRNA
Rfam family: Bacterial small subunit ribosomal RNA
Source: RNAcentral